CUGCCUUCCCACAUCCAACCGCUUCCCCAUCCCUUCUCACGGAGUCUGGUUCGGGUGAAAUUACUUUUAUUGAUGCACUAACUCCCUCUCUGGAUAUGUAGAACAAGGAGGACCUUACACUUAACAAUAGAGCCAAUGAUGGUUCUACCAGUCUCCCCAAAGCCUCAAGUUUAAAAGCCAUAUGAACUGGCUGAUAGUGGAAAAUGAAAGCCAUGAGGAAGAAACUGAGGACAGGAGGGGCCAAACAAGUUACAGUUUCAUCCCUCCAGAGGGCCAACAGAGUAUUUUGCACGAAGUUGAAG
Long non-coding RNA from Symphalangus syndactylus (siamang), 302 nucleotides. RefSeq lists it as uncharacterized. NCBI's taxonomy places the organism in Eukaryota, Metazoa, Chordata, Mammalia, Primates, Hylobatidae. The record is from RefSeq and is a predicted model, not a curated record.